GACAAUGUGGCCGAGUGGUUAAGGCGAGAGAUUGCUAAUCUCUUGCACUUUGUGCGCGUAGGUUCGAAUCCUAUCAUUGUCG
This 82-nucleotide transfer RNA is filed under the name Fragilariopsis cylindrus CCMP1102. It matches the Rfam family "tRNA". From Rfam's summary of the family: Transfer RNA (tRNA) molecules are approximately 80 nucleotides in length. Lineage: Eukaryota; Bacillariophyta; Bacillariophyceae; Bacillariales; Bacillariaceae. The record is from Rfam by way of RNAcentral.